CCUACGGGAGGCAGCAGUGGGGAAUUUUGGACAAUGGGGGCAACCCUGAUCCAGCCAUGCCGCGUGAGUGAAGAAGGCCUUCGGGUUGUAAAGCUCUUUCGGCCGGAACGAAAUCGCGCACGUGAAUAACGUGCGUGGAUGACGGUACCGGAGUAAGAAGCACCGGCUAACUACGUGCCAGCAGCCGCGGUAAUACGUAGGGUGCGAGCGUUAAUCGGAAUUACUGGGCGUAAAGCGUGCGCAGGCGGUUCGCUAAGUCAGACGUGAAAGCCCCGGGCUUAACCUGGGAACGGCGUUUGAAACUGGCGGGCUCGAGUACGGCAGAGGGGGGUGGAAUUCCACGUGUAGCAGUGAAAUGCGUAGAUAUGUGGAGGAACACCGAUGGCGAAGGCAGCCCCCUGGGCCGAUACUGACGCUCAUGCACGAAAGCGUGGGGAGCAAACAGGAUUAGAUACCCUGGUAGUCCACGCCCUAAACUAUGUCAACUAGUUGUCGGGGAAGCAAUUCCUUGGUAACGCAGCUACGACGUGUAGUGUACCGCCGNGGGAGGUACGGUCGCGAGAGUAAACGUACUAAUAGUAGUUAGACGUCGUUGAGACGUUGCGACGGCGACGACGAGGGAGGAGG
RNAcentral lists this ribosomal RNA (627 nucleotides) under uncultured bacterium. Its description in RNAcentral is "bacterial SSU rRNA". The stretch from base 1 to 542 matches the Rfam family "Bacterial small subunit ribosomal RNA", at positions 338 to 873 of the family's 1533-position model. The record is from RNAcentral.